RNAcentral lists this ribosomal RNA (497 nucleotides) under uncultured bacterium. RNAcentral's name for it is "partial 16S ribosomal RNA". It matches the Rfam family "Bacterial small subunit ribosomal RNA", at positions 28 to 507 of the family's 1533-position model. The record is from RNAcentral.
GAUGAACGCUGGCGGCGUGCCUAAUACAUGCAAGACGAGCGAACAGAUGAGGAGCUUGCUCCUCUGACGUUAGCGGCGGACGGGUGAGUAACACGUGGAUAACCUACCUAUAAGACUGGGAUAACUUCGGGAAACCGGAGCUAAUACCGGAUAAUAUAUUGAACCGCAUGGUUCAAUAGUGAAAGACGGUUUUGCUGUCACUUAUAGAUGGAUCCGCGCCGCAUUAGCUAGUUGGUAAGGUAACGGCUUACCAAGGCAACGAUGCGUAGCCGACCUGAGAGGGUGAUCGGCCACACUGGAACUGAGACACGGUCCAGACUCCUACGGGAGGCAGCAGUAGGGAAUCUUCCGCAAUGGGCGAAAGCCUGACGGAGCAACGCCGCGUGAGUGAUGAAGGUCUUCGGAUCGUAAAACUCUGUUAUUAGGGAAGAACAAAUGUGUAAGUAACUAUGCACGUCUUGACGGUACCUAAUCAGAAAGCCACGGCUAACUACGUG